RNAcentral lists this ribosomal RNA (468 nucleotides) under uncultured bacterium. RNAcentral describes it as "partial 16S ribosomal RNA". It matches the Rfam family "Bacterial small subunit ribosomal RNA", at positions 28 to 507 of the family's 1533-position model. The record is from RNAcentral.
GACGAACGCUGGCGGCGUGCUUAACACAUGCAAGUCGAACGGAAAGGCCCUGCUUUUGUGGGGUGCUCGAGUGGCGAACGGGUGAGUAACACGUGAGUAACCUGCCCUUGACUUUGGGAUAACUUCAGGAAACUGGGGCUAAUACCGGAUAGGAGCUCCUGCUGCAUGGUGGGGGUUGGUAAGUUUCGGCGGUUGGGGAUGGUCUCGCGGCUUAUCAGCUUGUUGGUGGGGUAGUGGCUUACCAAGGCUUUGACGGGUAGGCGGCCUGAGAGGGUGAACGGCCACAUUGGGACUGAGGUACGGCCCAGACUCCUACGGGAGGCAGCAGUGGGGAAUCUUGCACAGUGGGCGGAAGCCUGAUGCAGCAACGCCGCGUGCGGGAUGACGGCCUUCGGGUUGUAAACCGCUUUCGCAUGUGACGAAGCGUGAGUGACGGUAAUGGGUAAAGAAGCACCGGCUAACUACGUG